This 41485-nucleotide long non-coding RNA is filed under the name Triticum aestivum (bread wheat). Its description in RNAcentral is "long non-coding RNA (TAES_LNC008152)". Lineage: Eukaryota; Viridiplantae; Streptophyta; Magnoliopsida; Poales; Poaceae. The record is from RNAcentral.
AUGUCCGGUCCGAUUGCUCGUGUUAGCUUCUCCGACAUGCCACUUCUUGCUUCCCUUGACUUUUCCACAAACUCCCUGACUGGGUGGCUCCCGACUAGCCUCGCCGGCUGUGGUGAGCUCAAGUCGCUCAACCUUGCCAACAAUAUAUUGGUCGGCACCAUCCCGUCGUGGAUUGGUGAGUUUGACAACCUUUGGUACUUGAAUCUCUCAAAUAAUUCAUUUGUUGGCGAGGUACCCAAGAGUUUGUUACGGCUCACUGGCCUCGCCGCCACGGGUCGUUCAUUGGGUAUGGUUUUCACUAACAUGCCCUCUUUCGUAAAUUACGAAAGAAGAGCACUCGAUGAACAACCAAAUACCAUAACUGGGACCAACAACACAGUGAGAUCUGGGCGCAACAACACCAUGUCUGAAAACGACAACAUUGUCAUGUCCGGAGACAGCAACACUGUGUCCGGGAGCUUCAACACCCUUGUAUGUGGGGACAACAAUGUUCUAACUGGUGAUCACCAUGUCGUAUCUAGGAGCAACCAUAUUGUAACUAACAGCUACAAUAAAGUAUCUGGGUGCACCAAUAAUGUAUCCGGCAGCCACCAUACCGUAUCCGGUAGCAACAAUGCCGUAUCUGGGAGCAACAAUACGGUAUCUGGGAGCAAUCAUGUCGUAUCCGGGAGCAACAAAAUCGUAACUGACGAUUAAUGAUCUGUCAGUGGAUUGAUUCCAUCCUCGAGAACGAGAUCCCGGAGCACAUCAGAGACUCGUGAGAAGAAGUUCUUCACCCAGAACCGAAAACCUAGGUACAUGGACCCCCAUAUCUUGUUCCAAGCUGGGAGGGCACCAUAAAGACCUUUUGUAUCUUUUACUGUUUUUAGCAUAUUUAAAUUUCCGCAACUAUAUACAUCCGUAUAUAGUCCAUGCGGAAAUUUCUAAAAGGGCUUAUAUUUAGAAACGGAGGAAGUUGUAUGUAUUUCCGUGCUUGCAAUAUUAGUGUUAACUUCCAGCCUACAAUGAGAAUUAUAUCAAAUGAUGCACUCGUCGUUUUUUGAUGAAUGUCUUUGUUACAGCUUCUGGUUAUUGUUAUUAGAUGUGUGACUCCUGUUGAAUGAUCCCUUACUUGAUAGUUUCGAAUUGGCCGCUAUUCAACACCAUUAGUGCUAAUUGUCAACAACAGCUUAUUCUUUGCCGAUAGAUACAAAUUGUGAGGUGGGGAAGUGGGUACAGACCGAAGUUGGGUAGGAAGCUGUUGUUGCUAGGUUACGACGAGGCUGUGGCAGUGCAUUGUUCAUAUACAGAUGGGUUGGACGUUAGCAUGUACCCACUUGCAUGAGCUGCACUUGACCUGACUUGGACAGGUUUUGGGAGAGAUGGAUUGCAGCACCCGAGCUCCACUGCUCUCUAUAUUUAAACAUUUUAAAAUUUGUAUUUUUGAAAUUUCAAAAAAAAUGUGAAUUUUUCGCAGGGAUACAUAUACACAUUCCGAAUACAGAAAAAAAAAUUCAGCUUCCGAAUACAAUUUUUUUGCAGGGAUACAUAUACACAUUCCGAAUACAAAUUUUUCGCAAGUUCCUGUAGAAAUCUCGUUUUGUUUUGGGCUACAGAAAAAGAUAAUUUCUGACACUAUAUAGGAGAAAAGGUGUGCCAUUUUCUGUCAGAAAUUUAUCUUUUUUGUAUUUCCCAAAAUAAAAAGUAUUUCUUUUUCAGCUUUUUACCAGGCCUUAGGAAUGUGUGUAUCUAUUCACGUAUUUGAUAUAAGAUUCUUUAAGCAACGAAACUGUGUUUUUCAAAAAUUUCAAAUACCAGGAGCCCUGGAGCCCGGUAGUUGCAGGCACUUUUUGAGGCUUGGGAAGGUCUCUCUCUGUCUCUCUCUCUCUCACACGCACGCACGCACGCGCACGCACGCGCACACGCGCACACGCGCACACAUGUAGUCAUAGGUGUGGCGAUGCAUGGCUUUGACUGGCUGCAGUGAAUUGUUGGUUUUGUUUUGUCCUUUUUCUUCUUCCUCCUCCUUAUUUUCAUCCUCUUGUUCCACGUACAUGCAUGCUCCUCCUCCUCGUGCAUUAUCUCUUUGUCUGUGACAUGCAUCCAUGUAUGGAUUUUUUUUCUCCUACGGUAAAAUUUCUCCCAUGAGGGCAAUUCUCGUUGUUUUUAUUCCUUUCCUUCACUUGCAUGAGCCCCCUGCCGGAUAUACAUCAAUACAUGCAUGCAGCACUUGCAUUAGCAGCCCUACGCGUUUGAGACGUGCUCUGUAAGAAAGUAAGCUGUUUUUGGGCUAGCUACAGUCAUUUCACGCUGUUUUUGUCGGUAAGUAAUUUUCCAGCUUGAAAAAGGUAUUUGGUCUGAAAAACCUGGAAACUUGCAUGAAAUAAAAAUACAAACUUGCAUCGAAAACUACAGAUUGUACAAAAAUAGGCUGGAAUCAUCGUAAUAGUUGGAGUUGCAAGAACUCAUCUACAAUACGAAACUAUCAAUCAACCAUGCAUACAAAAAGCGCAGAUGGUUUUUUUUACCUUUGUUGAUAUUUCAUCGAACACCUAGUGUGCGAGGAGGAGAAAUCCGUCCGGCGAGCCAUCAGUGGCUUGCGGCUGUCGGGAGGGGGUGGACAACGGCUACUGGAAGUGCUCCCUCGACAUGCAUACGGCGGUUAUGCAUCCGGAACUCGGAGACGUAGCCGUUGUCGCCUAAAUUAAAUGCCGCCGACUCUCUGCUCGGCCGUGGCGGUGGGGCGACCGCUGUGGAGCUCCGGCGGCCGCUAGGCCAUAAUGUAGGGGCACAACUGACUGGCCAUGGCGACUACAAUGGUGAAUCGAUGUGGCGGCCACGACGCGGGCGCAGGCCAAAUCGGGGCGGGCGGAGGAGCUCCGUUGUGCAAGGCGAUCAGCGGUGCGUCUUUCUUUUGGCUUAUUUGUGCUGCGGCCAAGCGAGCUCGAUGUAUCGGGUAUUUGCUUUAUAAUAUAAAGUAGGGGACCCUUUAUCGUAUAAGCAGUGCGUCUGAUGUGCGGAGCAUGCGAAGCCACGAGACUCAGCGUACAUAUGUACGCUGUGACACCAAAAUGCAAUAACAAAUGAUACAAAGCCUCAUUAUUAACUGCAUAUUUUCUAAUCAUUCUAAUCUUCAAGCGCAUUGCAUCCAUCUUGAUCUUGUGAUCAUCGACGACAUCAGCAACAAACAACUCCAGUUUCAUCUUCUCUUCUUCAAUUCUUUUCAAUUUUUUUUCAAAUACUCAUUUUCUUUUUCAACUAAAUUUAACUUCUCAACAAGAGGGUCGGUUGCAAUUUCCGCUUCACAUACCUCCUAAAUAAAAAUAUCUAUGUCAACUUGAUGGGAAGAAUUGUCAUAAACAUGAAAUGCAACAAAUAGUUAUCAAAGAGAAUAUACCACAUCCAAAUCAUAAACCGGACAAGGGCUGACGGAUAUCAAAUCCAUGCCACUAUGUAUAAUAAACAAAGUACGUGUAAGAAAAUUAUACAAGUAACUAUCUAAAUCUCAUAGACAUGAUUUUUUUUAUAAAAAGGAUAAGAAUAAGAGGCUCACCAAGGUGGUGAUGACGACAGGACGGUACGGGCGAUGGACGGUGGUUAGGACGGGGACGGGAUGGCACUAAGUAAACCACACCUACAUAUGCAAAUUAAGAAGUUAAUUUGAGCUCAAAUUGCAUAUAAAUCAAAUAAACUACCACAUAUAAUUACUCCCAAACUAAAACCCAAAAAUCACUAUACUUAUAGAGCAUUGCAAGAGCUAAUCUAGAAAUGAGAGAUGAAAGAACAAAGUUGCUGACGGUGUCCUGGACUAGGGGUACUCAUCACAUCGUCUCGCGACCAGGUGGAUCUGGCCGAGGACCCCUGUUGGGGAUAUGAUUACUGAGUUAAACCGCCCAGGAAGGGGCCGGAUUAACUCACAAGGAGUCCUGUGCAAGAGCCCAUGAAGAUGAAGGCUAUGGCGCUUUAACCAUGAAGACAUAGAGGCCCAGAGCCCGAUGGCGGAUUAGGGCCCAUAAUGGUAAACCGCCAUAGAUGUGUAACUUGUGUUGUAAGUCAGGGAAAGGAGAAACCGAGUCGGACACUUGUAUGAGCCGAACUCGGGAUCUUGUAAACCGGCCGGGCGUCAACCUGUGUAUAUAAAGGGACGACCCGGCGGCGGUUCAGGGACAAGAAACAACAACUCGAAAGCCAGACAUAUCGUGUUUGCCCCCUGGUAAUCGAGACCACAUCAAAAACACCCCAACUGGAUCGUAGGCUUUUACCUUCACCGCAAGGGGCCGAACCAGGACAAACUCCCUGUGUCCUUUGUCCGGUUUAACCCUUCUAAGCUAACCCGUUGCGAUGGCUCCACGACUAAGUCCUUUCACUAGGACAUCUGACGUGAUAAUUCCACGACAGUUAGCGCCCACCGUGGGGCGAUCGCACGAUGGUUUCAAGUUCUUAGAGGGCAAGUUCGAAGGGCUCAAGGGAUACGCAGUGGUCCGGAUGACUAAGAGUCGUCGCGGCAAGCUCUACAUCAAUGACACAAGCUGGGGCCCCGACGCCGGCUCAGUCGAGUACGGAUACCGGGUCCCCUUCGGAGGAAUUCACGUCUUCAUCGGCAAGAUCGGCGAACCGGGCCCUGAGUCGGACAUCUGCACCGACCACGUCGAGAUGGCUCAGCGUGCGAGCCCUACCCGGGGUCAGCCCGCCAUGAAGCAUGCGUUCGUAGGAUGUAUCCAUAGGAUCGAAUCUGAACCGGUGUCCGAUGGUGAGACGGCCGUUUACUCCGAUGGUGAGUCAUCUACCGGUGAGACUGAGUCUUUGUAUCAAGUUCAGGAUGGCCUGUUUGGGGGGUAUUCCGAUGGCAGCAAUAUUCCGGACCCCUUUGAACCGCCAAACCGGGUUGCAAUCUUCAUGGCUGGCACGCAACUCGUCCGACAAUCUUCAACAGCAGCGGCGAUAAUCUCCGGAUCAACAGCUGGGGCAGGUGGCCCUGGGCGCCCGUCGGUUCAAGUCUUGUCUGGAUUAUUGGACGCUUUGGCAACAUUAUUGACUGCUGAAGUUAGUACGGAAAAUCGGGAGGAGCAUAAUACGGAAGUCAGAAAGUUGCGAGAGCAGAUAGCUCAGGCUAAUUAAGGAGGACAUGGCUGCUGAGGAGACCAGGAUGGUCGAGGAACGAAUCGCUUUAAAUGCUAAGGCACAGCGAGUUCAUGCAGAGGCUUACCGGCUUAUGUUGCAUCAGAACGCUUCAAACGAAGUGAUGAUGAGAAGGCACCAAUCUCGUCUGCCGUCGGUUUACGAAGGAAGAAAUCUUUUUAACACGCCAGGAGUGGGCACUAGCAACCCGCCCGUGGUGAACCCGAUUGAAGCACCAAGUACAGGAGCGCUAGAUCAGCUGGGCAUGAUGGGUCCGCCUCAGCAGAAUCAUGAUCCUCCGCAAUACGCACCAGCUCCACCGGGUCAUUUUGCCACCCCUUUGGACAACAUGAUUGCUGCAGCGUCAAGAUUGGCUGCUAUUCCAAUGGAAGGUGACUCCCUGAUACGUCUCCAACGUAUCUAUAAUUUUUGAUUGUUCCAUGCUAUAAUAUUACCUGUUUUGGAAGCUUAUGGGCUUUAUUCUACAUAUUUAUAUCAUUUUUGGGACUAACCUACUAACCGGAGGCCCAGCCGAUAUUGUUGUUUUUUUUGCCUAUUUCAGUAUUUUGAAGAAAAGAAAUAUCAAACGGAGUCCAAACGAAAUGAAACCUUCGGGAGUGUUAUUUUUGGAACAAAUCAGAUCCGGAGAGACUGGAGUGCAAGUCAAGAAAGCUCCGAGGGCCCCACGAGAUAGGAGGGCGCGACCCCCUAUAGGGCGUGCCACCUGUCUCGUGGGCCCCUCGGGCGUCCACUGAUGUACUUCUUCCUCCUAUAUAUACCUACGGACCCCGAAAACAUCCAGGGGCACCACGAAACACAAUUUCCACCACCGUAACCUUCUGUAUCCGCGAGAUCCCAUCUUGGAGCCUUCGCCGGCACUCUGCCGGAGGGGGAAUCAACAACGAAGGGCCUCUACACCAACAUCCUUGCCCCUCCUAGGAGUUGUGAGUAGUUUCCAUAGACCUACGGGUCCAUAGUUAUUAGCUAGAUGGCUUCUUCUCUCUUUUUGGAUCUCAAUACAAUGUUCUCCCCCUCUCUUGUGAAGAUCUAUUCGAUGUAAUCUCUUUUUGCGGUGUGUUUGUCAAGAUCCGAUGAAUUGUGAGUUUAUGAUCAGAUUCAUCUAUGGUUAUUAACUGAAUCUUCUCUGAAUUCUUUUAUGUAUGAUUGAGUUAUCUUUGUAAAUCUCCUCGAAUUAUCGGUUUGGUUUGGCCUACUAGAUUGAUCUUUCUUGCCAUGGGAGAAGUGCUUAGUUUUGGGUUCAAUCUUGCGGUGUUCUUACCCAGUGAUAGAAAGGGUUGCAAGACACGUAUUGUAUUGUUGCCAUCGAGGAUAACAAGAUGGGGUUUAUAUCAUAUUGCAUGAGUUUAUCCCUCUACAUCAUAUCAUCUUGCUUAAUGCGUUACUCCGUUCUUAUGAACUUAAUACUCUAGAUGCAUGCUGGAUAGCGGUCGAUGUGUGGAGUAAUAGUAGUAGAUGCAGGCAGGAGUCGAUCUACUUGUUUUGGAUGUGAUGCCUAUAUACAUGAUCAUGCCUAGAUAACGUCAUAAUUAUUCGCUUUUCUAUCAAUUGUUUGACAGUAAUUUGUUCACCCACCGUAAUACUUAUGCUCUCGAGAUAAGCCUCUAGUGAAACCUAUGGCCCCCGGGUCUAUCUCUUAUCAUAUUUGCUUUCAAUCUACUUUAAUUUUGCAUCUUUACUUUCUUGCAUUUAUAUUACAAAAUACCAAAAAUAUAUUUAUCUUAUCAUACUAUCUUUAUUAGAUCUCACUUCCGCAAGUGGCCGUGAAGGGAUUGACAACCCCUUUAUUGCGUUGGUUGCGAGUUCUCAGUUUGUUUGUGUAGGUGCGUGGGACUUUUGAGGAGCCUCCUACUGGAUUGAUACCUUGGUUCAUAAAACUGAGGGAAAUACUUACGCUACACUUGCUGCAUCACCCUCUCCUCUUCGGGGAAAACUAACGCUAGCUCAAGACGUAGCAAGAAGGAUUUCUGGCGCCGUUGCCGGGGAGGUCUUCGCUCAAGUCAAGACAUACCAAGUACCCAUCACAAACUCAUCUCCCUCGCAUUUACAUUAUUUGCCAUUUGCCUCUCGUUUUCCUCUCCCCCCACUUCACCCUUGCCGUUUUAUUCUCCCUCUCUUUCCCAAUCUCCUCCUCUCUUUUCCGUUUGCCGUUUUCUAUUUGCUUGUGUGUUGGAUUACUUGUUGCCAUGGCACAAGAUAAUACCAAGUUGUGUGAUUACUCGAAUACCAAUAAUAAUUAUUUCCUUAAUACUCCGAUUGCUCCUCUUAAUGAUGUUGAGUCUUGUGAAAUCAAUACUGCCUUGCUGAAUCUUGUUAUGAAAGAUCAAUUCGCCGGCCUUCCUAGUGAAGAUGCCGCUACUCAUCUAAAUAAUUUUAUUGAUUUGUGUGAUAUGCAAAAGAAGAAAGAUACGGAUAAAAAUAUUGUCAAAUUGAAGUUAUUUCUGUUUUCACUUAGAGAUCGUGCUAAAGUUUGGUUUUCGUCUUUGCCUAAAAAUAGUAUUGAUUCUUGGAACAAGUGCAAAGAUGCUUUUAUCUCUAAGUAUUUUCCUCCCACUAAGAUCAUCACUCUUAGGAAUGAUAUUAUGAAUUUUAAACAACUUGAUCAUGAGCAUGUUGCCCAAUUUUGGGAAAGAAUGAAAUUGAUGCUUCGCAAUUGCCCUACUCAUGAUUUGAAUUUAUGGAUGAUCAUACAAAAUUUUUAUGCCGGUUUGAACUUUGCUUCUAGAAAUCUCUUAGAUUCGGCCGCGGGGGGCAUGUUUAUGGAAAUUACGUUAGGAGAUGCUACAAAAUUGCUUGACAAUAUUAUGGCUAAUUAUUCUCAAUGGACACCGAAAGAUCUUCUAGUAAAAAAGUGCAUACUAUAGAAGAAAUCAAUGUUUUGAGUGGAAAGAUGGAUGAACUUAUGAAGAUGUUUGCUACUAAAAAUACUCCUCUUGAUCCCAAUGAUAUGCCUUUGUCUUCUUUGAUUGAGAAUAAUAAUGAAUCUAUGGAUGUGAAUUUUGUUGGUAGGAAUAAUUUUGGAAACAAUGCUUAUAGAGGAAAUUUUAAUGCUAGACCGUUCCCUAGUAAUACCUCUAAUAAUUAUGGAAAUUCCUACAAUAAUUCUUAUGGUAAUUUUAAUAAGAUGUCCUCUGAUUUUGAUAAUAGUGUGAAAGAAUUUAUGAUUUCUCAAAAGAAUUUUAAUGCUUUGCUUGAAGAAAAAUUGCUCAAAGUUGAUUUGGCUAGGAACGUUGAUAGACUUUCGCUUGAUGUUAAUUCUCUUAAACUUCGAUCUUCUUCUCCUAAGCAUGAUAUCAAUGAGUCUCUCAAAGUAAUGAGAAUUUCCAUUGACGAGUGCAAGGAAAGAACCGCUAGAUUGCGUGCUAAGAAAGAAAGCUUUAUAAAAGCAUGUUCUUCUAGUCUAGAUGAAAAUAAUGAUGAGGAUCUUAAAGUUAUUGAUGCGUCUCCUAUCAUAUCUGUGAUUAUGGGACUGAUGAUGAAUCAACUUUGCCUAGAAGGCGUCCCAAAAAUUCGGAGUCUUUAGAUCUUAAUUCUAAAUUUGGUAAAAGAGAGAUUGGAGAAUCCUCAACUUCUAAUAAUGUUGAACCUACUAUCUUGGAUUUCAAGGAAUUUGAUUAUGAUAAUUGCUCUUUAAAAGGUUGUAUUUCCUUGUUGCAAUCCGUUGUUAAUUCUCCUCAUGCUUAUAGUCAAAACAAAGCUUUUACCAAACAUAUUGUUGAUGCCUUGAUGCAAUCUUAUGAUGAAAAACAUAAUUUGGAAGUUUCUAUACCUAAAAACCUUAAUGAUGAGUGGGAACCUACUAUAAAGAUUAGAAUUAAAGAUUUUGAGUGUUUUGCUUUGUGUGAUUUGAGUGCUAGUGUUUCCACAAUUCCGAAAACUUUAUGUGAUAUUCUAGAUUUCCAUGAUCUUGAUGAUUGCUCGUUAAAUUUGCAUCUUGCGGAUUCCACCAUUAAAAAACCUAUGGGAAGGAUCAAUGAUGUUCUUAUUGUUGCAAAUAGAAAUUUGGUGCCCGUAGAUUUUAUCGUUCUUGAUAUAGAUUGCAAUCUUUCUUGCCCUAUUAUUCUUGGUAGACCUUUCCUUAGAACGAUUGGUGCGAUUAUUGGUAUGAAGGAAGGGAACAUUAGAUUCCAAUUUCCCUUAAAGAAAGGCAUGGAGCACUUUCCAAGAAAGAAAGUCAAAUUACCUUAUGAAUCUAUCAUGCGCGCUACUUAUGAAUCAAGUGCCAAAGAUGGCACUCGUUAGAUCUAUCCUUGCUUUUAUGCCUAGCUAGGGGCGUUAAACCAUAGCGCUAGUUGGGAGGCAACCCAAUUUUCUUUAUGUUCUUUGUUUUUGUUCCUGUUUAGUGUUAAAUUCUGUUUCUACUUUCUGUUUAGAUGUGUUUGUAUCUUUUGUUUAGUGUUUGUGCCAAGUAGAACCUAUAGGAUAAACUAUGAUGAUGGUUGAUUUGAUUCUGCCGAAAAAGAGAAACUUUGCGCUCACGAGAAAAAAUUCAAUAAAUCACAGAAAAGUGCUUUUGCAUUGAUUCUUUUUGCUGAUGAUCAAUAAACAAAUUGUACAGUAUGUCCUAUUUUGGUACGAUUUUUAGAUUUCUGAAGCAUUAGUUACAGAUUGCUACAGAUUGUUCUGUUUUUGACAGAUUCUGCUUUUCAUGUGUUGUUUGCUUAUUUCAAUGCAUCUAUGGCUAAUAAAUUAGUUUAUAAGCCAUAAGGAAGUUGGAGUACAGUAGGUUUAACAUCAAAAUAAAUAAAGAAUGAGUUCAUUACAGUACCUUAUGUGGUGGUUUUGUUUUCUUUUACUAACGGAGCUUAUAAGAUUUCCUGUGGUGUUUUGUGUUGUGAAGUUUUGAAGUUUUGGGUAAAGCUUUUAUGGACUAUGGAAUAAAGAGUGGAAAGAGCCUAAGCUUGGGGAUACUUAUGGCACCCCAAUAUAUUCAAGAAUAGCCAAAAGCCUAAGCUUGGGAUGCCCCAGGAAGGCAUCCCGUCUUUCGUCUUCGUUCAUUGGUAACUUUACUUGGAGCUAUAGUUUUAUUCGCUACAUGACAUGUGUUUUGCUUGGAGAGUCGUGUAUUAUAUUGGUCCUUGCUUGUUAGUUUACCACAAUCAUACUUGCUGUAACACACCUUUUUGGAUAAGCCUAUUUGUUUAGAACUAGAUGAUGCCCCGUGCGUUGCUGCGGGACAGGUGUAAAUACAUAUUCAUAGAAUUAGAGAUAAAAUAUAAAGAAACAUUUUCUAGGUGCCCCGCGGAUUGCCGCGGGUGCAAAAAGAAUCCCGUACAUAAGUCUCAUAUACAAAGGAAAUAUCACUGAGAAUCCACAUAAACAAAACUUACGAUAUGUGGCUCGGUGUUACAAUUUCUACUGAUCCCUAGCAUCCGUAUGAAAAAUCAGCUUGUCAAUGUGAAAGUUUUCUUUUACCUAUAAAAAAACUUUGGUUACAAACUUUGAAUCAAUACAAUUAACCACAAUAAUUAAUUUUGCCAAGGCAUGAACAGGGUAUAAAUCAAAAUCACACUGUAUAAUCUAGAAUGAUAUAUGUUGCUUUAUGUCCAAGCGAAAGAGAUAUCCACUGCUGAAAAGGCAUAUGAAAUUCAGAGACAUAUAUUAUCAAUCAAGCACUUGUGUGGGACGAAUGGAAAAAAGAAAAUCAAAAUUGCAUUAACAAUCUAAAAUGAUAUCCGAUACCUUAUGUCCAAGUAAAAGAGCAUCUUCACGAAGUCCAUAUGGGAGCACAUGGAGCUUAUAAGCCUAGACCAGAGAGUGUCGGACGUGUGUGGAGUGGAUGAGCAAAUGUUGCAGAUUACAGAGUAGGGACUGGGAAGUGACCGGAAAGGCAAAAUCUGAACGACCUACCACAUAGAGCUGAUGCGCUAGCCCCAACCGUGGAGUACCAUUGGAAGCCAAGUUUGCUGAUUGAGUCGGAUUCCUCGUCACCGACGGCAACCGCAGGGGCAUAGCAAAGACGUUCCGAAGCCUCAGCGGUUGUGCCCUUCUUCGACGAUCCGGGAUUCUGGGUAUCCCGCAACGGAACAACAGUCCAUCUUGUGUUCCCACAAUCAAAGAGACACCGGAGGCGAGGCAGGCGAGGCGAGGAAAACCGGCUGGCGUGCGGCAGGAGAUUUGAAGCAGAGCAAAUGGGGUGCACAACGACAUGUCUUCCAUGACGACGUGGGUGCUCGGCAACGGAAUCGCGUCGCGACCCACUCUCAUAGUGGCAUCAGGACAAAGGAAGAGCAUCAAUGGUGCGAGAAGAUGGUAGUAGAGACAGGUUGAUAGACGCGAAGGCCGUGGCCGUGCCGUUUAAUCUAGCCUCUUCUUUGGGUAACGGAGGGCGAAGUAAUGAGGCGCGAUCAAUGUUUCGGUUUCAUGUGCAUUUGCGCCAGGGAGAGAUUCGGCCACGAGCCCGCGACAACAGAAGAGAUAACGGCGACGAUGAUUCAUAGCGGAGAAGUUUUAUUUUUUGAGCAAAUCAUAGCGGAGAAGAUGACCUAGUGCCGUGGUUGACCCCCAUGGGCUAUACAGCCCACAUGCAUAACAUACUAACAUUGAAUCGGGCCCUGUGUUUUGAUUUUCGGCCGAAAAAAGUGGACUUCGGCCGAAUUUCGGCCAUCUCGGCCUGGGGCGAAAAGUAUAUUAGGCCAAAAUUGCUCAAAUUUGGCAAAUUUUGGUUAAAUUUAAGUCAAAUUGUAGUCAAAAUUUGGUCAAAUUUCAGCCAAAAUUUUAGAAAAUGGCCGAAAUUCGGCCAUCUCGGCCUAGGGCGAAAAAAAGCUCAAACCGAAAAUCAAAACACAGAUCGGGCCCCAUGUGCGCAAACACAACCCACAUGCAGCUCGGGCAACCCACAGUUAGUACGUGGGUUUGUAAAGCCCAAGCGAUGGAAGUCGGGGAAGGCAGCCAGAGUUAGCGCACGACAGCUGAUUGCGUUCAAGCUUGAUCGAAUGGCUAAUAAUAAUUCAGGUGACGUGGCUGCACGAGAAUCCAAGAAAAUCAGGUAGUGGGGUGCUUCUAUUUAGAUAUAGAAGAUUUGCAAGAAUACUCUAUGUGCUUCACUUAUAUCUUUUGAGCUUAAUAGUUUUUGCUCUAGUGCUUCACUUAUAUCUUUUAGAGCAUGGUGGUGGAUUAAUUUUAUAGAAAUUGCUAGUCUCUCAUGCUUCACUUAUAUUAUUUUGAGAGUCUCUUAGAAUAGCAUGAUAUUUUCUAUGGUUUUAAUUUGGUCCUAAAAUGAUGAGCAUCCAAGUUGGGUAUAAUAAAAACUAUCAUAGAAAGUGAAUUGGAUGUUAUGAUCAAUUUGAUGCUUAAUAAUUGUUUUGAGAUAUGGAGGUAGUAAUAUUAAAGUCAUGCUAGUUGGGUGAUUAUGGAUUUAGAGAAUGCUUGUGUUGAAGUUUGUGAUUUCCGUAGCAUGCACGUAUGGUGAACCGCUUUGUGAUGAAGUUGGAGCACAAUUUUAUUGAUUGUCUUCCUUAUGAGUGGCAGUCGGGGAUGAGCGAUGGUCUUUUCCUACCAAUCUAUCCCCCUAGAAGCAUGCAUGUAGUGCUUUGAUGUUUGAUGACUUCUAAAUUUUUACAACAAGUAUAUGAGUUCUUUUGAUUAAUGUUGAGUCCAUGGAUUAUACACACUCACUACUAGGGAAAAGCCUAUACACAGAAUCUUAUCAGAAGCACGCUUUAAAAUAAGGCGCUGCUGCUAAUUAGCAGUAGCAUGCUCAGGAAUAACUCGCUGCUGAAACCAAUAUAGCAGUAGCACGCCCGCUCAAAGACGCGCUACUGCUAUAAUUCCCACGAGGCCGCCACGAGGCUAGUUAUAGCAGCAACGCGUUAUAACGACAGGCGCUACUGCUACGUAGCAUAGUAGCAGCGCAUUUCUGCAAUAAGCACUACUGCUAAAUUUACUACAAAAAUUUAGCCCCGUCUCCUCUAUCCGAUCCACUCACACAGUCACACACUAGCUCACUGGAUCCCCUCUCAAUCCCCCGCGCCGGUCCACCCCCGUCGCCCCUUCUCCGUCUGCGCCGCCGUCACCUCCUCCUCCUUGCUGGACUCGGUACCGGCCUCCUCCUCCGUCCUCCCUCUCCACUCGCCGCUGGCCGGCCCCUCCUCGCUCCGCCUUCCUCCUUCGUCCUCCCUCCACUGGCCGCGCCGGCCGGCCCCUCCUCGCUCCGCCUUCCUCCUCCAUCCUACUCUCUUCUCCCUCUUCGAGUCGCCCCUCCUUCUCCCUCCUGCCUGCUACAUUUUGAUUUAGUAGCUAGGCUAGUUCAUAUGCAACAUUUUGAUUUAGUUGAUAUGAUUUAGUUGAUUUAGUAGGCUAGUUGAUUUAGUUGACUUAGAACAUUUUGAUUUAGUUGAUUUAAUAGGCUAGUUCAUUUAGUUGAUUUGGUUGACUUAGAACAUUUUGAUUUAGUUGAUUUAGUAGGCUAGUUCAUUUAAUUAGUUGAUUUAGAACAUUUUGAUUUAGUUGAUUUAGUAGGCUAGUUGAUUUAGUUGAUUUAGAACAUUUUGAUUUAGUUGAUUUAGUAGGCUAGUUGAUUUAGUUGACUUAGAACAUUUUGAUUUAGUUGAUCGUUAAUCCUUUGCUCAUAUUGCUUUAGGAAAAAUGGCGCCACCACCACCACCACUAUGUCGACUGUGCAAGUCAAGAUGCGCCAACAGCCUUGCAACUGAUCAACGUCUCCUUCCGAGCAGAAAGACCCAAGCUAGCUGUCAUUUAUCUCAACCUGGUGGAAGAUGAUGAAGAUGGCGGAGAUGAUGAAGAUGAUGAAGAUAAUGAGGACCCACUCGAUGAAGAUGAUGAGGACCCACUUCAUGAAGCCAUCAUAGCUCAAAGAACAAGGCUGAGUGAGGAGGAGGUGUCCAACCUAUGGGACAUAAUUCCGCCACGUGCUGACUUUGUCGGGGUGCCAUUCGUGACUCGCUUGACAAAUACCAUGGUUGAUCGACAUGAUAUGGUAUGUUAUACUUACAAAUGCAAAUUAUCCAAUGAAUUACUUAGUGUACAGUCCAAUGAUAUGGUAUGAUGUGUGGAAUCUAGUCGAUGAUAUGUUUUAGUGUAGAGUUCGAUCACCUGCUUAUUAGUGUAGAAUCUAACGAAACUAUUAAUAGUGUAGAUAAUCCAUAUGUACUUAUUUGCGAGGCAAUUUAUUAAUUGAUAUGUUUUUCUUAUUCAGAAAUUGGCAAAGAGCAUAUCUGUGAGUUAUGGUAUCGAGCCUGAUGAAGAAGGCUCGGCUGGACUACGCCUUACUGCAAGGGGCUCCGUCACAACCUGUACUGACCGCGUGGAUACGGACGGUCGCACACACUUAAACUCGGUUGGGUGGAAGAAAUUCCUCGAUGGCAAGAAUCUUCGUGUUGGACAGGCCAUCCUAAUUACUAUCAGGAACACCAACCGCCCAGGCUUAAGGAUGAUGAUUGUCUUCGAUAUCAUGUAGAACUACAUAUGUGUGUGUGUGGCUAUAUCAUCUAGAACUAUAUAUGUGUGUGUGGCUAUAUCAUCUAGAACUACAUAUGAUGAUCGUCGUCGAUAUCAUGUAGAACUACAUAUGAUGAUGGCCGUUGAUAUGACCUUGUACUGCUUGAGGAUGCAUGUUGACUAUGCAUGAAAUUGUUAUCUAGUACUCCCUUCGUUCCAAAUUACUCGUCGUGGUUUGAACUAAAACUACGACGAGUAAUUUGGAACGAAGGGAGUACUAUCUAGUAAUGGUUUAUGAAUUUGAUAUCUACUAGCAGUACCUAGUAUCUAGUAUCUGAAAGGGAAACUGAAAGGGAAAGGGGUAAUGGGAAAAUGAUGAAAGAUAUAGCAGUAGCGAGGGAUGGCGAAAUCGCUACAGCUAGGUAAUAGUAGCGCAUUCUUAAAAAGCGUUGCUGAUAUCGUAAACAGUAGUAGCGCGGGUAAGGGCCGCGCUACUACUAUAAGUUAGCUGUAGCGCCUUAUUAGUAGCGCGUCCACCCGCGCUGCUGCUAGCCUCAAAACCCGUGCUACUACUAGGGUUUUCCCUGGUAGUGACUCCUUUCACCAUCCAUUAUUGCUAGCCUCUCUUGUAUCGUGCAACUUUCGCCGGUACCAUACACCCACCAUAUACCUUCCUCAAAACAGCCACCAUACCUACCUAUUAUGGCAUUUCCAUAGCCAUUCCGAAAUAUAUUGCCAUGCAACUUUCCACCGUUCCGUUCAUAUGACACACAUUACUUUUGUCAUAUUGCUCUUUGCAUGAUCAUGUAGUUGACAUCGUAUUUGUGGCAAAGCCACCAUCAUAUUUUUCAUACAUGUCGCUCUUGAUUCAUUGCAUAUCCCGGUAUACCGCGGGAGGCAUUCACAUAGAGUCAUAUCUUGUUCUAGCUUUGAAUUGUAAAUCCAUAAAAGUGUGAUGAUCUUCAUUAUUAGAGCAUUGUCCCGGUGAGGAAAGGAUAAUGAAGACUAUGAUUCCCCCACAAGUCGGGAUGAGACUUCGGACUUUACAAAAAAAAGAAAGGCCAAAAAAAGGCCAAAGAAAAAAAUGAAAGAAAAAAAAGAAUGAGAGAAAAAGAGAGAAAGGACAAUGCUACUAUCUCUUUUUCCACACUUGUGCUUCAAAAUAGCACCAUGAUCUUCAUGAUAGAGAUUCUCAUAUGUUGUCACUUUCAUUUACUAGUGGGAAUUUUUCAUUAUAGAACUUGGCUUGUAUAUUCUAAUGAUGGGCUUCCUCAAAAUGCACUAGGUCUUCGUGAGCGAGCAAGUUGGAUGCACACCCACUGGUUUUCUUUUGUUGAGCUUUCAUAUAUUUAUAGCUCUAGUGCAUCCGUUGCAUGGCAAUCCCUACUCACUCACAUUGAUAUCUAUUAAUGGUCAUCUCCAUAGCCCGUUGAUAUGCCUAGUUGAUGUGAGACUAUCUUCUCCUUUUUUGUCUUCUCCACAACCACCGUUCUAUUCCACAUAUAGUGUUAUGUCCAUGGCUCACGCUCAUGUAUUGCGUGAAAGUUGAAAAAGUUUGAGAUUAUUAAAGUAUGAAACAAUUGUUUGGCUCGUCAUCGGGGUUGUGCAUGAUUAAAUACUUUGUGUGAUGAAGAUAGAGCAUAGCCAGACUAUAUGAUUUUGUAAGGAUAACUUUCUUUUGGCCAUACUAUUUUGAGAAGACAUGAUUACUUGCUUGGUAUGUUUGAAGUAUUACUAUUUCUUAUGUCAAUAUGAACUUUUAUUUUGUAUUAUUUCGAUCUGAAAAUUCAUGCCACAAUGAAAGAAAAUUACAUUAUGAAUUAUGCUAGGUAGCAUUCCACAUCAAAAAUUCUCUUUUUAUCAUUUACCUACUCGAGGACGAGCAGGAAUUAAGCUUGGAGAUGCUUGAUACGUCUCCAACGUAUCUAUAAUUUUGAUUGUUCCAUGCUAUUAUAUUACCUGUUUUGGAUGCUUAUGGGCUUUAUUCUACAUAUUUAUAUCAUUUUUGGGACUAACCUACCAAUCGGAGGCCCAGCCCAUAUUGUUGUUUUUUUGCCUAUUUCAAUAUUUCGAAUAAAAGGAAUAUGAAACGGAGUCCAAAUGGAGUGAAACCUUCGGGAGCGUUAUUUCUGGAACAAAUCUGAUCCGGAGAGCCUGGAGUGCAAGUCAAGAAAGCUCCGAGGGCCCCACGAGAUAGGAGGGCGCGCCCCUUGUCUCGUGGGCCCCUCGGGCGUCCACGGACGUACUUCUUCCUCCUAUAUAUACCUAUGGACCCCGAAAACAUCCAGAGGCACCACGAAACACAAUUUCCACCACCGCAAACUUCUGUAUCCGCGAGAUCCCAUCUUGGAGCCUUCGCCGGCACUCUGCUGGAGGGGGAAUCGACUAUGGAGGGCCUCUACAUCAACAUCCUUGCCCCUCCUAUGAGUUGUGAGUAGUUUACCACAGACCUACGGGUCCAUAUUUAUUAGCUAGAUGGAUUCUUCUCUCUUUUUCGAUCUCAAUAUAAUGUUCUUCCCCUCUCUUGUGGAGAUCUAUUCGAUGUAAUCUCUUUUUGCGGUGUGUUUGUCAAGAUCCGAUGAAUUGUGAGUUUAUGAUCAGAUUCAUCUAUGGUUAUUAAUUGAAUCUUCUCUGAAUUCUUUUAUGUAUGAUUGAGUUAUCUUUGCAAGUCUCUUCAAAUUAUCGAUUUGGUUUGGCCUACUAGAUUUAUCUUUCUUGCCAUGGGAGAAGUGCUUAGCUUUGGGUUCAAUCUUGCGGUGUUCUUACCCAGUGACAGAAAGGGUUGCAAGACACGUAUUUUAUUGUUGCCAUCGAGGAUAGCAAGAUGGGGUUUAUAUCAUAUUGCAUGAGUUUAUCCCUCUACAUCAUAUAAUCUUGCUUAAUGCCUUACUCCGUUCUUACGAACUUAAUACUCUAGAUGCAUGCUGGAUAGCGGUCGAUGUGUGGAGUAAUAGUAGUAGAUGCAGGCAGGAGUCGAUCUACUUGUUUUGGAUGUGAUGCCUAUAUACAUGAUCAUGCCUAGAUAACGUCAUAAUUAUUCGCUUUUCUAUCAAUUGCUUGACAGUAAUUUGUUCACCCACCGUAAUACUUAUGCUCUCGAGAGAAGCCUCUAGUGAAACCUAUGGCCCCCGGGUCUAUCUCUUAUCAUAUUUGCUUUCAAUCUACUUUUAUUUUGCAUCUUUACUUUCUUGCAUCUAUAUUACAAAAUACCAAAAAUAUAUUUAUCUUAUCAUACUAUCUUUAUUAGAUCUCACUUUCGCAAGUGGCCGUGAAGGGAUUGACAACCCCUUUAUUGCGUUGGUUGUGAGUUCUCAAUUUGUUUCUGUAGGUGCGUGGGACUUUUGAGGAGCCUCCUACUGGAUUGAUACCUUGGUUCUCAAAAACUGAGAGAAAUACUUACGCUACACUUGCUGCAUCACCUUCUCCUCUUCGGGGAAAACCAACGCUAGCUCAAGACGUAGCACUCCCCCAUAGCGGUUGAGACAUGUCGGGCUAGGGAUUUACUCCAGACAGCAAUGGUUCAGCAACAGGCUUAUUCGUACAGUCGGGACAUGAUACACACUAACCCUCGUCCAAGUCGGAGUUACAGCCGGCGUGUUGAAGAGCCAGCUGUGUCAAGCAGUGGACGGAAUCAUCAUCCGCCACGGAGGCCUAACCUGGCAGGGGGAAGGAAGCGCAGGAUUUAGUGGACCAAGGACGAGCGCGCCGCGGCACCGGGUUGAAUGCACAGGACAUGGAGCGCCAGCUUACGCCGGUUCGUCCGACCACUACAGUAGAGCCAGCGGUUGCCUUUACCACUUUGGGGGUGUCGUGUCUCACACCGGCCCUGCACAAUGCGCGGUUACCCAAGGACUUCAAGGGCCCUCGGAAAGUACCCAAUUACACUUCUGAUUUACAUCUUGAGUCAUGUGUAGAAAGCUAUGAGAUGGCCAUGGAGAUGCUGGAUGUGGAUGGAGCGGUGUGUGCUAAGUACUUCACUAUGAUGCUAGAAGGAACAACUCGCACUUGGCUAAAGAGUUUACCACCCAAUUCAAUUGGGUCAUGGGAGGAGUUGAAGAGACGGUUUAUCAACAACUUCAAAGAUACUUGCAAGCAACCAAUGUCAAUUGUUGAUCUGGCUGCUUGUGUUCAAGCAGAGGGUGAAUCGACUACCCAUUGGGUACGCCGGGUUUCUGAGAUCUUACAUUCAUCUGAUCGGAUUAAUGCAGAUUCAGCAAUUAUAGUGCUAGAAGGCAAUUCCAAGUUCAAACCUUUGAAGUUCAAGUUGGGGCGGAUGAAGCGUCACUGCAAUGAUAUGGGAACACUCAUGGGGGCUUUGGUUAAAUAUGAUAACUCUGAUAAUACCAAGGAUCCCGAGUAUGACGAGGAAAAGCCGAGGAAGGGAAAGAAGAGCCGCAACACCAAAGGACAGCAACCCAACUCGGCGGGCAACGGUAACAACGGUAAACGAAAAGCAGAUAAUUCAGAUUUUGUGGCUAACACCAAUGUGCAGGGUAAUAAUCAAUGUCUUAAGGGUAAAUCGCCCCAGCGCGGCGGCGGUAUGAAUCUGGAACGUAUGUUGAAUCAGCCUUGCCCGAAGCACGGGACAAAGGAGGUUCUAGCCACGCACCUCUGGAAGGACUAUUUCAUUAUGCGAGAGUUCAAAAUUCUGACCUUUUCCGGUGUGAUCAGGGUCCAUCUGGCGGUUCAGGUCCUGGAUCUCAUGGGCCGGGUUACGGUGGUAGCGUUCAAACUCCGAAUUCCAGGGAAUCAAGGCAAUCAGGGCAAUCAGAAUAGCAGGGUGGUUAUAAUCAGUAGAAUAAUCAGGGAAAUCAGCAGCAGUCGGGUUAUCUGAGUCACCCGAAGCAAUUGAAUAGUGGGCAGUAUCAUGUUUUCACCUCUAGUUUGUGCAAGCGUGAUCAGAAGCUUCACAAGAGAGUAGUAAACAUUGUUGAACCGGCAGUAGCAUGUUACUUACGUUGGUCCGAAUAACCCAUUGUAUGGAGCAGAGAGGAUCAUCCACCCCGGUUGACAAUCCGGGUCAUUUGGCUUUGGUGGUGGCGCCUCAGGUUGGAGGAUAUAAGUUCACCAAGGUGCUGAUGGAUGGAGGGAGCAGUAUCAAUAUUUUAUAUUAUGAAACCUUCUGGCGCAUGGGAUUGACGGAUAAAAAUCUUAAACCGUCGAACACUAUUUUCCACGGAGUGGUACCAGGUAAAUCGGCAUACCCAGUUGGUAAGAUAAAUCUGGAGGUGGUAUUUGGAGAUGAUCAUGAUUCUAGAUCAGAAACCUUAACCUUUGAGGUAGUAAAGAUCCAGAGCCCAUAUCAUGCCCUGUUUGGAUGACCAACUUAUGCAAGGUUCAUGGCAAGGACCUGUUAUUUUAUCUACAGCUCAAGAUGUUGGGUCAUAAGGGGACCAUCACAAUACAUGGGAGACGUAAGAACGCUUUGGAUUGUGAAGAGGGUGAUGCGGCUUAUGCUGGGUCGGUUUGUGCGGCAGAAGAGUUAAAGUUCUACAAGGACAAUGUUGAUCUGGCAGAUAUGACUCCUCUGAAGAAGCCCACCACAGAGCAUGACCCAACCCUGAAGUUUAAACCGGAUGAUGAGACUAAAUUGUUGACUUUGUUACUGGUGAUUCAUCUAAACAGUUUAGUAUCAACACUAAUUUGGAUCUGAAAUAGGAAAGCGCGCUCAUCAAGUUCAUCCGCGAGAACCGGGACAUCUUUGCGUGGAAGCCUUCCGACAUGACAGGUGUACCGAGAGAACUCGCUGAGCACAAUCUCAAUAUUGAUCCCAAGUUUAAACCGAUCAAACAGUUUCUUCAUCGCUUCAACGAAGAAAGGCGCAAGGCCAUUGGCGAAGAGGUAGCCUGGUUGUUCGCUGCUGGUUUUAUCGUUGAGGUUUUUCAUCCUGAGUGGCUGGCCAAUCCGGUACUAGUGCUUAAGAAGAAUGGCACUUGGAGCAUGUGUGUGGAUUACACGGACUUGAAUAAAGCUUGUCCGGCCGAUCCUUUUGCCCUCCCUCGUAUUGAUCAGAUCAUUGAUGCUACGGCGGGUUGUGAGCGUUUGAGUUUCUUGGAUGCUUAUUCUGGUUAUCAUUAGAUCAAGAUGGCAGUUAAGGACCAGGAGAAAACAACUUUUAUCACUCCCUUUGGAGCCUUCUUUUAUGUAUCUAUGCCCUUUGGGAUCAAGAGUGCCCAGGCAACUUAUCAGCAUUGUGUGCAGAAUUGUCUUCAUACACAGAUUGGGCGCAAUGUUCAUGCUUAUGUGGACGAUAUUGUGGUAAAAUUCAGAAAAAAGGAGACAUUGAUUGACGACUUGAAGGAGACCUUUCACAAUCUUCGGGUUUACAAGAUGAUGCUCAAUCCGGCCAAAUGCGUUUUCGGUGUUCCGGCAGGCAAGCUCCUAGGUUUCUUGGUGUCUAACAGGGGCAUUGAGGCUAAUCCAGAAAAAAUCAAGGCUAUUACGUCUUUGGCUAAACCGGCAUGUAUCAAUGAUGUUCAACGUCUAGCAGGUCGGAUUGCAGCUCUGAGCCGGUUUAUCAGCCGUUUGGGAGAGAAGGCGAUCCCUCUAUAUCAGAUGUUGAGAAAGAAAGACACUUUUGUCUGGAGUAACGCUACUGAUGCGGCAUUUGAGGAUUUGAAGAGGCAGUUGGUUGAGCCGCCGGUCCUUGCCGCUCCGGUCGACAAUGAACCACUGUUAUUGUAUGUGGCUGCUAAUGUCCAGGCUAUCAGCGUGGCUAUUGUGGUCGAGCGCAAGGAGGCGGGGAUGGAAUAUCCGGUUCAAAGGCCUGUUUACUAUAUCAGCGAAGUGCUCAUCGAGUCAAAGCAAAGAUAUCCGCAUUGGCAGAAGCUGGUGUAUGGGGUUUUUAUGGCAAGCCGGAAGCUUAAGCAGUACUUUCAGGGCCAUCCCAUCAGAGUGGUCAGUUCUGCUCCUUUGGGCGAUAUAAUUCAGAACAGGGAGGCAACUGGCCGGGUUGCAAAGUGGGCUAUUGAGCUUGGACCGCACGGGCUGAAGUACAUGCCUCGGACAGCUAUCAAGUCUCAAGCACUUGUCGAUUUCAUCAAUGAUUGGACAGAGUUGCAGGCACCGAAAGACAAACUGGAUAACACAUACUAGACUAUCCACUUCGAUGGGUCCAGGCAAUUGGAGGGCUCGGGGGAUGGAGUUGUCCUUACUUCCCCUCAAGGUGAUAAAAUUCAUUAUGUUCUCCGCUUAAUGUUUCCUUGUACUAACAAUGCAGCUGAGUAUGAAGCCUUGCUCCACGGUCUUCACGUGGCUAAGGAAAUGAACUUAAGACGGGUACGAUGCUUUGGAGACUUUGAUCUGGUGGCUCAGCAAGUUUCUGGUACUUGGGACUCUAAGGAUCCGCUCAUGGCGGCUUACAGACAAGAGGUGGAUAUUGUGGCUGGUCACUUCAAGGGUUAUCAGGUUGAGCACAUUGACCGACGCAAAAAUGAAGCAGCAUAUGCUUUAAGCCGGCUGAGGUCUCACCGCAAACCGGUGCCACCCAAUACCUUUCUGGAUAUCCUGCAUAACCCGUCAGUUAAGUUGCCUACAGAGGAGGAUUUGGCUAUUCCUGAUCCGGAGGCACAGUUGGUGGUCGCUUUACAUGUUAUUCCGGAUUGGACGGUUCCAUAUUUGGCGCAUAUGAACCGGGGCGAGUUACCAGAAGAUGAAGUUUUGGCCAGACAGAUAGUUCAGCGAUCUAAGUCCAUGGUUAUUCACAAUGGCGAGUUACAUCACUUCAGUGUCUCAGGUGUGUUCCAGCACUGUGUUUCUCCUGAAGAGGGCCAAGAAAUUUUGCGUGAGAUCCACGAAGGAGAUUGUGGUCACCACGCUGGUUCAAAGUCCUUGGUUGCUGAAGCCUUUCGGCAUGGCUUCUACUAGCUGACGGCUCAUGCUGAUGCUCAGGAUUUGGUGAAACAGUGCGACGCUUGUCAGAAAUUCUCACGCAGCGCUCAUGUUCCGGCUCAAGAGCUAAGGAUGAUUCCAAUCACUUGGCCGUUUGCUACUUGGGGGCUUGAUAUGGUAGGACCUUUUAAGCGAUCCAAAGAUAAAAAGACCCACCUGUUGGUGGCGGUUGACAAAUUCACUAAAUGGGUUGAAGCGGAGCCAGUAAGCAAGUGUGAUGCAGGCACGGUGGUUCAAUUCAUAAAGAAGGUGAUCUUCCGCUUUGGCUUUCCACACAACAUCAUCACAGAUAAUGGCACGAACAUUUCCAAAGGUGAAAUGGAGGACUUCUGUCAAAGAGAGCACAUCCAGCUUGAUGUGUCAUCAGUGGCCCACCCUCAGUCUAAUGGUCAACCUGAGAGAGCUAAUCAGGAAAUCUUGAAGGGUAUCAAGCCCCGGCUUAUGGUUCCUUUGAAGAGGACGGCGGGUUGUUGGGUUGAAGAAUUGCCUUCUGUGUUAUGGAGCAUAAACACCACCCCAACCGGUCUACGGGUUAUACACCUUUCUUCAUUGUUUACGGGGUAGAGGCGGUCCUCCCAAGUGAUAUUCGUCAUGACUCGCCCCGGGUUGCCAAUUAUCUUGAAGAGGACAACGAGCAGGCACGUCAAGAAGCAUUGGACCUGUUAGAUGAAAAACGGGACAUGGCAUUGGCUCGCUCGGCGGUUUAUCAGCAAGACCUGUGGCGUUAUCACAGCCGCCGUGUUAAAACAAGAACCUUUCAAGAAGGCGACUUAAUGCUUCGGCUCAUCCAGGAUCACACCAAUAUGCACAAGCUAUCCCCACCUUGGGAAGGACCCUUUGUGGUCAGCAAGAAUCUUCAUAAUGGGUCAUACUACCUCAUUGAUGUUCGAGAGCACGCAGACUCACGCAAAGCUGAGGAGGAGACCUGGCGGCCGUGGAACAUAGCUCUCCUUUGGCCUUACUACACUUGAGCCAUAGGCUCCUCUUAUAUACAUAUUUUGACAAUGUAUAUAUUAUGAUCAAUAUAAUAAAUCGACAUCCUUGCUAUAAGCAGGGCCUCUGCUGUUUUUCCAAUAUCUCUUGAUGACAUGGGGGCUUCAGCUGACAAAGUGGAGUUCUAUCUGUCAAUCCGGCUAUCACGCCCUAACAUAGCUUUGGAGCUUCACACCCAAGGGGCCAAAGAGAGUCUUGUUGCUAUGCAUAGCUCAAACAUAGGCACCCAUAGAGCACAACUCACAAAGUUACUUGGGGGCUCUUUAUGCAAUGCAGCAAAGAGUUUGAAAGGACCCUUGUAAUAUGCUAUCAAGCACGGCUUGGAAGCCUGGUGUAUUCACCUAAAACCCCGGGUUAACAUGCCUUAUCAAGUAAGCCACUCCUAUCCAGGUAAUCCUGGCACGACCCGCCGAACGUUUGACAAGUCAAUCUUAUACAGACCCUGAACUUGUCAAAGUUAAAACGACGAUUGGUUAGUUGGAGGCCCAUCUUGAAAGGCUUUGCAAAAUGGUUUAACUCAGUGACCUGGCAGCCCAUGAAAAGCCUCGAAUUUGGGCCCGGCAGCCCUUGAAAAGCCUCGACUACACGGUUUGUUUGCCUUUAUCAAGAUUUUUCUCUUUUGAUAAAGUGUUGUGUUGAACCGGCGUCUAUUGACCCGGCAUGACUAUUAGUCAUUAAAUUAACCCGGUGUUUGUUAACCCGGUUUGGUUUUCAACUACAAGUUGACAGACCACAUCCAAUUGUAAACCAGAGUUUAUUAACCUGGUCUGGCAUUGACUAUACGUCACCAGGUUGAUCAUCCGGUGUUUAUCAUAACCCGGCAUGGUUUCUUAUGCACCAGUACAGCAUGGUGUGAGUUGUUAAACGCAAGUCUUGGGUUAUCACCCUUAUUACAAUCAAGUUGGUAAACCAACUAUGUGAUUCAAACAUCACAUGUAUGAUUUAAUUCAUAUUUUCAUAUUCCUAUAGCAUUGGUUAUAAACCAAGCUUUAUAUUGGAUAUUAUUAUUCGUCCGGCGGUAAACCACCAGGACAAUAUUUCCAUUCUAUCUUGUGCAGGAAUAAGAUUGCAUAAAAAUACUAAGGCAUAUAAGCAAGUACAACAAUAAUCCUGAUGGAUCAAAUAGUAUCAUGCAACACUACACGAUGGCGGUGGAUCAAAGUAUUUCAACUAGCCUAUUACAAGGCACUCGGAUGCCCAAGAGAAUAAAGUAUUUAUUUCACAGAAUUCAAUCUAUGGAAAUUAAACCGGCCGAUGGUCUACGAUUCAUCACCAGGUUAACGUGAAGUUGACAGAUCAUCUAGCGCCGGUUCACCCUCCUCCUCCCCAUCCACUGGCUGGAAGUCAAUGUUUGCCCAGUCAAUUCCAGACAAAGCUCGGAAGACGGCUUCAUCACUUAUAAGAUCUGACGGUUCAAUGUCAGGGGCAUAAGUAUGCUUACGGAUUGGUGGGAUAAGAUUCUGCACUUCAUUCACAGAUGCAUCAAUCCGUUUGUUAUCUGCAUCAUAGUUGGACCGAUGGACAGACAAGUCAGUUACUUUGGCCAAUCUGCUCGCAAGCGGGCGCAUCUCCUUCAUCAAAGCUUUAAGGGCAUCAUUGUCAAAGUGUGACCCGUAUGCUAUUUGGCUUGGAUAGCCAUUUCCAAUGUUCUCCGGAUCAAGAUCAGCUAUCCAACCUUUGGCCCGACUGAGUGCAGAUAAAGCGCCAGCCCUUGCAGUAGAUCUCUUCAAUUCUUCCAGCUGAGCAGGAGUCAUAGAUAAUCUGGCCAAUGUAUCCAUGAUUAAGGUCGGUGGUGGUUUAUUGUAUGAGGCUGCGCGGAUGACCCGUUGAGCGCCAGUAUACAACUGCUCUAUCAAUGUGUAGGCAGCCUUCAACUUUUUUCGCAUAUCUGAGCCAUGAUGAGCAAUACGACUACCUGCAAUGGUUUAAGAAAUUACUGUUAAACCGGCAUGAUCAAAGAUGUUUCCUAAAAAGCUGAAGAAGAGUACUUACCAAAGAUAGCAGAAGUCAUCGCAUCGAUUUGCCGCUUAAAGCCACUCAGCUCUUCUGCUACCGGUUUAAGUGCUGCUUCAGCAUCUUCAGCCCAUUUCAGCAAAGCGGCCUUUUCAGUCUCCCAGCCUGCCCGCUCGUUCUUGAAGCCAUCCUUCAAUUGUUCCAUGGACAUCAAAGCGUCCUUCAAAUCAUGUGUUGCUUUUGAGGUUGCAGCUUGCUGGGACUUAAUGUUUUCCUGGAGGUCGGCAAUUUGGGCAUCCUUGCUGGUUAAGUCAGCCUGCAAAAGGCAGAUAUUAAGAUGGUAAUACUUUUUUCAUAGUCCCAAGCACAUAACAAGUUAUACACUUGGCACUUGGGGGCUAAUGCGGAUUGUUUCUCUCAAGCUGAUAUUUUAAAGUCCCAAGGCUCAAUACAAGUAUUCAUCUUGGCACUUAGGGGCUAAUGCUUAUUUGAUCAUAUAAACUGGAUAUGAAGGAACUCAACAAGGAUAAGCCUUGCAACAUAAAGUACCGGUUCAUCUUCAAGAAGAUAAACCAGCCCUUGGGGGCUACACAGUUGAAGUUUUUCAUAUUGAAGUACCGGUUCUUCUUCAAGAAGAUAAACCGGCCCUUGGGGGCUACACUGGAGUAGACAUGAAGCAAAAGAAUAGUUUUAUGAAAUGGUUCGAGCAAUAAUUACCUCAUAGCGCUCCUUCAUCAAGUUGACUAAACCGGCUUCAUAGUCACAACUUGUGUAUAGGCGGUUUAGAAAUCCAGAGUGGAGUUCCUGAGCAGUGAGGUUAGCACAACUGGCUAAAUCAGUCUUCCACUUGCCUUUGCCCAUAGCAGCAACUUCUUCCUUGGCAGUAUGCUUCGCUAGAGCAACCGGGUUACCAGGAAUAGUAUGACCAGUACCAGUAAUGACAACGUCGUCAUCACCAUCUUUGGUUGUGCUUGGCGGAAUAUCAGUAUUCCUGGUUGGACUUGGCGGAUGGUCUUCAUCCUUGGCUGGACUUGGCGGAUCAGUAGGAUGGUUCAUAACAUUACUCUCAUCCGGUUCAACAAAAGUAUCUUGAACCGGAGGUACUGGAUCUUCCUGAACAACAUCGGUAUCCAGGUCAUGAGGUUCAAGGGUCUUCUCCGAUUCAAGGGUAUGAUUAUCAUCAAUUGGAACAGUGAAUUUGGCUUUCUUGCUAAGCCUGCCUUUAGCACUGAGAAGAGUAAAGUACAGGCAUUAGUACAGUAAACCGGAGCAACAUAUAAAGUAAGUAUACUGCACUUACCCAGGGACGGUCUUGAGUGGAGGCAUCUGUGUGGUCAAUGAAUCGCCAGAGGAUGAAUUGGAAGCUCCCUGAUAAUUUGAAUCAGACGAAUUAAGAGGAUAUCGAAAGCAACCCGCCUUGGGAUAAGAUGUAUUGGAAGUACAAGAGACCUCUGGUCGGCGUUUGCGAAUCGGAGUAUCCGGUAAACCAGAGGAUGUAACCUGUUGACCACUGUGACGAGUUGUGCGACGAGCCUCAUGUUGAUGUGUCUUCAAAGAAAAGUGCGGAUCCAAAUGAGCAAGAGGAUGUGAAUGUUUUACUUUCCGGACUGCGCGAUGGAGUUUCUGUACCGGCACAUGAUCUGAAUCAGAGGAAAGGGAAAUUACCUCUACAUGGUCAGCACGACUUGCCUCCACAUCAUCCCGAUAAUGAUUAUUGUCAAUAAGGUGCAUGAAAAGUGAACCAAGUGAAUCAAUUUCUACCUCCGUGUCUGAGUCAUCAACAUCUUCGGCCGGAUCAGAGGAUUCGGCGGUUCUCUUCUUAGCAGACUUCUUGGUAACCUUGGACUUAGCCUGAGGCGCUCUCACCGGUUUGUCUUGAGCUUUGGCCGGUUUGACCAGCGUUUUCCUCUUCCAAAAUGGAUCAUUGCUCUGCAAAGGUAAACAGAAGGGCUGUCAGAAAGUGUCAAAAAGGGCGGAGUAAAAUAGGAAAAAUGCAAUUCUUACAGCUGGCGGUUUAUGGAGAGCACAUAAUGGACGCAGCCCAGUUUUGCUGCAUUCAGCUACCAGUUCAUCCAGCAUCCGCUUGACAAAUUCAGUAAUCACGUCAUCAGUCAAUUGAAUGUCAAUAUAAUGUUGAGCAUCUUUCACAUCUCCUGUAUACUCGCACAUUAAACCGGAACGACGACUUAAAGGCAAGAUACUCCAUGAGACCCAGCAACGGACAAGAUCGAUACCGGUCAAACCGUUUGCCAUAAAAGCCCGGACCUUAGAGAUCUGUGUGGCAUAUUUCAUUCGCUCCUUAGCAGUCAGACAUUGAGGCAGUGGAUGUUCAUUACUAAGCCGGUGAGCACAAUAACCCGGCAGAGGGUUUUCAUCUUCAGGGGCAAUGUUCCGGCAGUAAAACCAGGUUUGGUUCCAAUCCUUGGGGUGGCUAUGAUGUUUGGCAUGAGGAAAACUAACUUCUUUCCUCUUCUGUAUUGACACCCCGCCAAGUUCAGUAUUGGGGCCAUCGAUGAAUUCAGUAUCGCGGUUCAAGUGAAAGAAACCUCUAAAUAGCUCAACGGUUGGUUCCUCUUGCAGAUAAACCUCACAAAACAGUUGAAAGUUGCAAAGGUUGGACAUAGAGUUUGGUCCAAUGUCUUGAGGGUGGAGUUGAAGGCUGGCAAGUACAUCACAGAAAUUUUUUGAUCCAGGAGGGCUAAACCCCUGGUCCAGAUGAUGUACAGACACAAUCACCUCUCUGUCUUGAGGUUCAGGAGGACAUUCAGUACCUGGGACACUCCAAUGAAUAAUUUCCUCUUUUGCUAAAUUGCCAGUCACAACGUACUCAGUCAGUUGUUCUUUAGUGACCCGGGAACGGACCCAAUUGCAAGUAGAGAACUGCUUGGCCAUUGUUGAUGACAACUGUAAAAGAAGUUCAAAAUGCCGGUUCACGGUUCAAUAUUGAUAUGUAUAAACUGGGGUCAAACCGGAGGAUUUAGUCAGAGCAUAUGUGCACGUCAAACCGAAUUCUUAUGUUUAGGUUAAGUUGGCGGUUUAAGUGAGGGCUAAUGGUGCCUGGCGGAUUGUCAUUUUCUAAAGGUUAAACCGCCUAUAGUGGAGGAAGUAGAUCCGAACAUUUCACUAAGUACUGUAGAAACAUGUUUCACAGGAUGGUGUUAUAAUUUUGGAUCUACUGCGGUUCAGUAAACAAAAAUUUCUGAACCCUAGAAUGGAGACAUCAGAACAGCGAAGAUCUAGAUGGGAUUUAUCCAGGAACGAAGAGAUACUAUGGUGAAGCAAACUAAAGCUACAGCUUCGGCCGCAAAAGGAGGAUAUCAAGUUUAUAUAGAUUCGAUGAUACAAUAAGGGCAAAGAGACGAACGAGGAUGAACACUGAUGAACACGGACGAACACCAAAAUCCUAAUACAGAUCUGAUAAGUUGGGAACAGGAGAACUUACUGGGGCUGCGGGGCAGCGGAAGAGCGUCGCAGUGUUUCUGGUCAAGAACAGGUUGAUGCAGUGGCCUUGUUGGUGCAGAUGCAAAAGUCGACGGCGCCGGUGAUGCUUGAGCUCUUCGGAGUCGCGAGGAAGAAGAAGAGGCAAGGGGGAAAAAGGAAAGGACCCCUGGGCCUAUUUAUAAGGCGAAUGGAUAAGUAAGGCAAGCGCAUGAAUCGAGGAGCCCGAAAAUGAAUGGGGCACAACUGUUGCCUCGAUCUUCGGAGAUCAAUUAAUAAAAAGAAAUCUUUAUGAGUUUUUUACGCAGAUGACGUCACAUCGGUUUAAUGUGAUUCCCGAAGAUGACGUCACGACAGUUUACAAGGACAACAUGGAGAUGUUCAAAUCAGAGUUUCUUUAAGUGGAAGAUUGACAUGAACAAGUUCAAAUCAAUCUGGGGCCUAAUGUUGGGGAUAUGACUACUGAGUUAAACCGCCCAGGAAAGGGCCGGAUUAACUCACAAGGAUUCCUGUACAAGAGCCCAUGAAGAUGAAGGCUAUGGCGCUUUAACCAUGAAGACUUAGAGUCCCAGAGCCCGAUGGCGGAUUAGGGCCCAUAAUGGUAAACCACCAUAGAUGUGUAACUUCUGUUGUAAGUCAAGGAAAGGAGAAACCGAGCUGGACACUUGUAUGAGCCGGCCUCGGGAUUAUGUAAACCGGCCGAGCGUCAACCUGUGUAUAUAAAGGGACGACCAGGCGGCGGUUCAGGGACAAGAAACAACAACUAUAAAGCCAGGCAUAGCGUGUUUGCUCCCUGGUAACCGAGACCACAUCAAAAACACCCCAACUGGAUCGUAGGCUUUUACCUUCACCGCAAGGGGCCGAACCAGGAUAAACUCCCCGUGUCCUUUGUCCGGUUUAACCCCAUUAAGCUAACCCGUCGCGAUGGCUCCACGACUAAGUCCUUUCACUAGGACAUCUGACAUGAUAAUUCCACGACAACCCCCAUGGCGGUUCACUCAUGGGCCACUUCAGGCAGCCCAUGUCGCAUACAAGGAUUAUUCCACAAGACUUGGUGAUCAAGACAAGGACUCCUAUCCACCAACGUAUUCGGCUAGGACUCUUGUUAUCCUAGGCCUCUGGUGCAUUAUAUAAGCCAAGGCUAGGCUAGUCGAUAGAUCAUUAUGAAAAUCAUACAAGCUAGACUUCUAGGGUUUAGCCAUUACAAUCUUGUGGUAGAUCAACUCUUGUAAUACUCAUAUUCAUCAAGAUCAAUCAAGCAGGAAGUAGGGUAUUACCUCCAUAGAGAGGACCCGAACCUGGGUAAACAUCGUGUCCCCUGUUUACUGUUACCAUCGACAUUAGACGCACAGUUCGGGACCCCCUACCUGAGAUCCACCGGUUUUGACACCGACAUUGGUGCUUUCAUUGAGAGUUCCAUUGUGUGAUCGGUAAAGGAUCGAUGGCUCGUCUGCAGAUUAACUGCGACGUCAGCAUCUUUGUCAUCAGCUCGACUGGUCAACUCGGCUUGACCGAGGACUGUGCCCUACCUCCGAUAGUCAUGUUCGAACGAGUGCCUUCAUUAACAUCAACUCCGAUCUCGAUCAUGAUCAUGGAGGAAUUAUCCUUGGAGCUCGGGGGCUCAACGUCAACACUGCCCUCAGGCGACCGAGCUAUUUUCCCGGAGAACAAACUUGUAUCCCCUGCCACCACCUCCUCGAGCAUCGCUUUGAUGAUUCCUUCGAUGGAAUUGUGUGGAAUUAUGUCUAUAACAACCAUGCAAAAUUUCGCGAGUUCCGAUGGAGGAAUCUCCGGCAAUCUACGAUAUACCAGAGCCUUGUCAAAUUUGGACAAGAAUCUGGACGAUUUUAGGGCGUGGUCUCCAGAUCCAAGCUCGCUCGGAGGUCCUUUGGAAGAUCCAACCGUUCCUCCGCUGCGGAAUUCUCAUAUCUACCACCCCUCAAACUUUCAGCUCGAUCUGACGGUUGAAACUCCAGGAACGUUCCGAUGAGUGGACCAAUUUUCUCAUGUUUUUUCUUCGCGAGAACAAAUCCGAGCCUAGUUCAUCUUUUUUAUGAACGGGAUUUCGGACAUCCUUUUUGAAGGAAGUUCUGUAUGGGGUAUUGUGUUUUGUUCCCAAACACAUCCCACAAAUUUUAAAGUCUUUCCCAAUAUGGUCUUCAAUGCACCGGUGUCAAACCAGCCUGACAACGUUACUCCACGGCUGCCGACCUGCGUUAAACAAGUCGUCCCUUUGUUGAGCCGAUCUCAACUUCUUCGGAUCAUCAUCUCAGCAAGCCGGACAAGUGUUCGGCACCGUGAAGGAUAGAUCACCACCAACAUCGCCGCCCCACGGAUCAUACGGAGCGGGCACACCGGCAUCGCCGCACGGUCACUUCAUCGAGCUGGCAUUUACCGCGUCAUAAGUUAUGACCUGCACCGUCAUGUGGCGGCAUUGUUGGUUCUUCAAGCCGAUGUCCAUCACGCUGAACUGCUUCAAUACCUCGGCUGACACGGCAGCUGCAAUGUCUCCUUACCGACCUGCUCCGUCACCUCGGCUAGACCGGGGGCUUCGCCAUCCCUUCUUCAACCUACUUCGGAGACUUCGGCGUCGUCAACCGACUAGCUUAGUCACGUUAUCUAGACCGGGGCUUUGCCUCGGUGAGCCAACCCUUACCAGCAUCACCAUGCCGUCACUUCACCGCCAUUAGGCAAUGGGUGUGCGGAUCAAUUCUCAAUUUUGGGAGUCACUUUUCUUCGGACUGCUACAACAAAUAAACCAGGUGCUAUUAAUCCUAGCAAUUUUUGCUUAUUUGGGUUUUAUUUUUCUCAAGAAAUUAUUAUUCUGCUUCGUUCCAUCAUCUGUACACAGGCCUAUCAAAUGGCAGCCACAUUAACAACGGUCGCGUGGUGGUUCGGUCAGUUUCCGUACAUAGUUUGGCGAACGCCGCAUCCGGAACUCGGACUGACCUUUGAAUUCAGGCUUUGCCACGCCUUUACCACAUCACGUUGUUGUCUGGCAUCGACAUUGACUUCGGCGCUAUGACACAUAUUUUUAAAUAAAUUAUCUUGCGUAAAUUAAUUACGCGAGGAUUUUUAUAUUAUUAUUGUCGGCCUGCACUAUUUUACUUGUACAUGUAAUCGACUUCGACUGCGUCACUUGGUCACUUUGACAAGCCGACGCCGUCGUCCCAAUCGGCUUAAAUCAGCUCGCGUGAUUACCUUGUUUGUCGAAUUGCCAUACCGACAUGCUCGGUCGCUUUGGGGACUUCGGCAUCGCUGAGAGAGCCCUACCUCAUCGACUGUUCCACACACGAGCCAUAUUUCUUUUAUUACUCACUUUGCAUAAAUUAUUAAUUAAUUAUUUAUUUAUUAUUACUACUAUUAUCUCCGGUUUGCACUAUUUUCUGUGCACACGUAAAUGAUUCGGGUCGGGCAGUGUUAUCUCCUCGGCGUACUGACAUAGCACGUCACCUCGGCUGGACUGGGGGUUUCGUCAUUGAGGGAGUCCUAGAUUAGGGGGUAUUCGGACAGCCGGACUAUAUACUUUGGCCGGACUGUUGGACUAUGAAGAUACAAGAUUGAAGACUUUGUCCCGUGUCCGGAUGGGACUCUCCUUUGCGUGGAAGGCAAGCUUGGCGAUUCAGAUGUUAGAUCUCAUUCUCUGUAACCGACUUUGUGUAACCCUAGCCUCCUCCGGUGUCUAUAUAAACCGGAGUGUUUUAGUCUGUAGGACAAGAACAAUCAUAAUCAUAGGCUAGCUUCUAGGGUUUAGCCUCUACGAUCUCGUGGUAGGUCAACUCUUGUAUUACCUCCAUCGAGAGGGCCCAAACUUGGGUAAACAUCGUGUCCCCAGCCUCCUGUUACCAUUGUCCUUAGACGCAUAGUUUGGGACCCCCUACCCGAGAUCCGCCGGUUUUGACACUGACAUUGGUGCUUUCAUUGAGAGUUCCUCUGUGUCGUCGCUGUAAGGCUCGAUGGCUCCUUCAAUCAUCAACAAGGACGCGGUCUAGGGUGAGAUUUUUCUUCCCGGACAAAUCUUCGUGUUCAGCGGCUUCGAACUACGGGCCAAUUCACUUGGCCAUCUGGAGCAGAUCGACAGCUAUGCCCCUGGCCAUCAGGUCAGGUUCGGAAACUUGAAUUACACGACCGACAUCCGCGGAGACUUGAUCUUUGACGGAUUCGGGCCUACUCCAGGAGCGCCGGACGGUCACGACGGGAACGACUUAGACCGGUUGUCGGACGGUAUUCGGGAUAACGCACCUGCAGCGGCUCUGGACCUAAAUCCAAGGCAGAUCGCGUCGUCCGAGGACGGGUGGAUGGACCCCGCCACGGAGGCCGCAUACUCAUCGGCGGUAGAGCCGAACACAGACUCCACCUCUAAGGAAAUCUGUGUCACCGGACCCCAGGACGUGUCUCCGGCCUCAGGUUCCAGAUCGCGUGCAUCCGGGCCUAUCGAAUUUGAUUGGGCUCCGAUAAUGGAGUUCACCACCACGGAUAUCUUUCAGCACUCGCCCUUGGGCGAUUUGCUGAAUUCAUUAAGGUCUCUCUCUUUGUCAGGAGACUCUUGGCCGAACUAUGUCCGGCUCGAGUGGGAAGCAGAUGACGAAGAAAUUCGUCACCCACCCACCACCCACUUCAUUGCCACUGUCGAUGAUUUAACCGACGUGCUCGACUUCGACUCCGAAGACAUCAACGAUAUGGACGACGAUGCAGGAGAAGAACGGGAACCACCGCCCACAGGGCGCUGGACAGCCACCUCCUCAUAGUAUACAUAUAUAUGGUGGACACACCCAAAGAAAACAAUGGCGAUGAGGCAACAGAGGAUAACCCCUUAGGAAAGCAAUCAAAGCAUGGGCAUCACCGAUGCCGCUCUAAGCCCCGCCACAGCAACACCGGCACAGGAGACGAAAACAAUCCGGAUGGUGCCGAAGAUUAAUAUAAUCCCAAUCAACCUACCUUCGAGCAGACCGAACAGGAGGACGGGAAAGCUAGCCCAGAUGAACAGGCGAUGGACGGAGACUUGGAGGAUGACAAUUAUAUGCCUCUCUGCGAAGAUGGGGUGAGCCUAGGCGAUGAUGAAUUCGGCGUGCCUGAGGAUCCCGUAGAGCAGGAGCGCUUCAAGCGCCGGCUUAUAGCCACUGCAAGAAGCCUGAAGAAGAAGCAGCAGCAGCUCCAAGUUGAUCAAGAUCUGCUCACAGACAGAUGGAAUGAGGUCCUGGCAGCCGAGGAAAACGGACUCGAGCGCCCCACCAAAGGUUACCCAAAGCACAAGUUGCUACCUCAACUCGAGGAGGAGGCCAUAGAGCCUACACUACUAGCACAGGACGAGGCUGACCAGCCACCUCGUGGCCGAGACAAAGGGGUGUAUUAGCCCGAAUACCAACCCGCACCCCGACGCCCAUAUACUAUGGCCCGGGGCAAUACACAGGACCUGCGACAUAUUGGAAAACAAUGCAGGACAACCAAGAUCGAUCUACGGAUCGCGGGGGCGCGUCACAUCACAUGACGAUGAUCGUCAUGCCGGAUACACUAACAAUAAGUUCGACCGGGCCGAACAUAACCGACCAGACUUAGUUGGACUGCGUCGUGACAUAGCCCGGCAUAGAGGCGCCGCACACCCCCUCUGCUUCACUGAUGAAGUAUUGGAUCAUGAAUUCCCAGAAGGGUUCAAACCCGUAAACAUCGAAUCAUACGAUGGCACAACAGAACCCGCGGUAUGGAUCGAAGAUUUCCUUCUCCACAUUCACAUGGACCGCGGUGAUGAUCUACAUGCCAUCAAGUAUCUUCCCCUUAAGCUUAAAGGACCAGCCCGACACUGGCUGAAUAGCCUGCCGGCGAACUCCAUCGACAAUUGGGAAAAUUUGGAUGACGCGUUCCUCGACAACUUCCAAGGGACCUACGUGCGACCACCACAUGCUGAUGACUUAAGUCACAUUACCCAACAGCCCGAAGAGUCAGCCAGGAAAUUCUGGACUCGGUUCCUAACUAAAAAGAACAAAAUUAACGACUGUACGGAUGCCGUAGCCGGCCUUUAAGAAUAAUAUCCGUGACGAGUGUCUUGCCCGACACCUCGGCUAAGAAAAACAGAAAUCCAUGGCGGCCCUCACGACACUCAUGACCCGCUUUUGCGCGGGCGAGGACAGCUGGCUGGCUCGCAGUAGCACCACGCCAAGAGACUCUGGCACCUCAGAUGUCCGCGAUAGUAACGGCAAGCCUCGGCACAACAUACAUAAGCGUCGGAACUAUGGCGACAACACCGAAGACACGACAGUCAAUGCCGGAUUCAGUAGCUCCAAAUCCGGUUAGCGGAAAAAGCCGUUCAAAAGAAACAAUCCGGGAUUGUCUAGUCUGGACCGCAUACUCGACCGCUUGUGCUAAAUUCACGACACCCAUGAUAAACCAGCUAACCAUACUAACAGAGAUUGCUGGGUGUUCAAACAGGCCGGCAAGUUGAAUGCCGAGAACAAGGACAAGGGGCUGCACAGCGACGACAACGAGGAGCCCCAACGGCCGAACACAGGGGGACAGAAGAAAUUUCCUCCCCGAGUGAAAACGGUGAAUAUGAUCUAUACCACCCACAUCCCCAAGUGGGAAUGAAAGCGUGCACUAAGGUACGUUUACACGAUGGACCCGGUCGUCCCAAAGUUCAACCCAUGUUCAUCCUAUCCGAUCACUUUCGAUCGCAGGGACCACCCUACCAGUAUCCAUCAUGGCCUGAACCUGCUUUACCAGGACACAGUGUGCAAAAUGGGCAUUGAUCCCUCAAGGAUCAAACCCACCAAAACUACCUUUAAAGGUGUAAUUCCAGGCGUAGAGGCCUAUUGUACGGGCUCAAUAACACUGGAAGUGGUCUUCGGAUCUCCAGAUAACUUCCGAAGGGAGGAGUUAAUCUUUGAUAUCGUCCCUUUACGUAGUGGCUAUCAUGCACUGCUUGGACGAACCGCAUUUGCUCGAUUCAGUGUGGUACCACACUACGCAUACCUCAAGAUGAAGAUGCCAGGACCUCGAGGGGUCAUAACAGUCAAUGGAAACACAGACCGCUCUCUCUGUACGGAAGAGCACACUGCGGCCCUUGCGGCAGAAGUACAAAGCAGCCUUCUUCGGCAGACCGCCAAUUCGGCGAUGACAACCCCGAACACCAUCAAGCGAGUCCUGAGUACUCUGCAACAGGAUCGGCAGGCACGCCAAGAGCUCAACUAGCAAUCUGGCCUCCAUCCAAGUCCCAUUCAGGCCGCAUUUGUGUCGCGCGUACACAAUUACGGACUCAAAAUACCACGGGCAUAGGCGGAGGCGCGAUGAUGAUGCGGUCCACAAUGCGGCUCAACCGCCACGAGACCCGCAUACCUCUAUAACCUUCUUUCUUUUUCAGGACCCUACUUUCGGGCAGCCCCUUCAGAGAGCCUAAUCAUCGGACUCGUCAUAGGAGGGACAACCAAGGGGGCAAGAGGCUUUGCACACAAGGGAAUACUUAGGUGGUCUUUGUUAACGAUCAUUAUGCCUGUUUUACAUACCCACAUGCAGCCUGCCCUUGGAUAGGACAUGUCAAAUAGUACUAUUUUUGCUUGUCGCAUUAACUUGUACACAUACGCUUUGACAUAUUAUUUAAAUAACAACGGGAAACAAUAUACAGCGUCAACUUAUUAUUACUAUUUUCAUAUUUUCCCUGGACUGUUUAUUUAAUAUUGCAUCCCUACACUCUGGUACGUUCAGUUUGCUAGGGGCUUUUUAUUGUGCCCCAUAACACGGCAAGAAAAGUCCGAACACUUUUGAUAUUGCGGCACCCCGAACUUAUAGCAUUAUAUGCAUCUGCCCCGAAUCAUGUAUUGGGUCAAUAGUUGGGUUUGGCGGGCUCCCUUGUUUUGGUACCUUACGUUCCGUUAUAUCGGCUAAGGUAGUGCAGGGAGAACUACUGCGAUUGUGUCCCAGUUCUUCCGGACGAGCAUCUCAGUAGAGAAAGCGGAAAACUGACUGUCAUGAUGCGGUGAGAGUUGGUCGCUGUUCGAGAGGUAUUAAAUCCUUAAAGAUUUUUUCCUCUUCAGGCGAGGAAUCGGCCUUGUCCGGUUUAUGCAUGUAUAGCGCCCCAAUUCGGCUUUCCGAAUACUAGGGGCUUCACCAAAAUUUAAAAUUGUAGACUUCUAUGGCUAAGUGAGAGUUAUAAAGCCGCAUAGUCCGAUUGCCUUGUUCACUGUGCUAAACACCUCCUUAAAGGACCAAGAAUUUGUAUACAGAGUGUUUGGGUUUUCCACAAACACCCCAGUACUAGUUACACGGGGGCGGAAGCUGACGACUUGCCUACUUUCAGAAUUUUAUAAACAGCCGCACAGAAGGUAAUAUUUCAAAUCAACAAAGCGUCAUAUAGCGCAAACGAACUCGUUUUCAUAUUACAAAGAUGACAUGAGUACAUUCACUCAACGAUUAUGUCCUUGGUACAUUCAUUGGCCACAAGGCAAGCGCCUUUUAUAACGCCAUCAUAAUAUUUCUCGGGGUAGCGAUGCGCCUUACCCUCCGGGGGUCCAUCCUUCACCAGCUUCUCUGCAUCCAGUUUGGCCCAAUGCAUCUUUGCACGGGCAAAUGCCCGGCAGGCACCUUCAAUACAAACGGAUUGCUUGAUAACUUCAAGCCACGGACAAGCAUUUACCAUCCGCUUUACAAGGCCGAAGUAACUGUCGGGCAGGGGCUCGUCAGGCCACAUCCAGACUAUGAGGUCCUUUAUGGCCAGUUCGGCCGCCUUGUGGAGUUCAACCAAUUGCUUCUGUUGGUUACUUAGAGGCAUUGGGUGUUCGGCUCCAGUAUACUGGGACCAGAACAGCUUCUCCAUCGAGAUCCCCUCUUCGGCACGGUAGAACUCCGUGGCAUUCGAUAUGCUGCGUGGUAGAUCUGCGAAUGCCCAGGGAGAGCUCCGAAUUCGAUUAAGUAAAAGAAAUGUCUCCUCCACAUGCUUGCUUCGCAUAUUGAAGGCCUUACCCGCCGCUAUCUUCUUGGCCGUCUGGAUUUCCUAGAGGGCCUUUUGGGCUUCGGCCUUGGCGUGUUCCGCGCUCUGGAGGGCCUUGGCAAGCUCAGACUCUUGCGUCUUGAAGUCAUGCUCCAAGGACUCGAACUUCUGGCCGAACUCCUGGAGCUCUUGCUGUACCUCACUCACCCGAGAAUCUUGCUUUUCACGCUCAGUACGGUCCGUGGCUGCUUUAUCUUUGGCCUCGGAUAGCUCUUUCUUCAGGGCCGCCACUUCGGUCAUGGCCCCUAUUAAAAAUCAUGAUGCUUUUUGUUAGCGUCACCAAUUUUUUCCUCUAUAUGACACACGGACGGGGUAUCACUUACUUCGUUCUCUUCGAGUUGCCUCUUCAUGAGGCUGAGCUCUUCUUCGGCCUGCUUCAGGUCCCGUUUGAGUCCGGCGACCUCCGCAGUACGGGCGGUAGCGGCCAGCAGCAACACCUGCUUACUCACAUAGACAUUCAUUGUUAGACUCCUGCGGAUUAAAAAUUGACCCUCCGUUUGGCUUUUCUUUCCGAACACCAAACAGAGUAUCAGGGGCUACUGUCUAUUAGGUGAUAUUUUCUCACACCUUUCAUCACUUACCUCAAAGCCUGUUAGGAGGCUGGUGCAGGCUUCUGUCAAUCCGCUUUUGGCGGACCGAACAUUCUCAAUCACCAUACUCAUAAGAGUAUGGUGCUCUUCGUCAAUGGAAGCAUCGCGAAGCACUUCCAACAAAUUAUCUGAUGCCUCCAGCUGGAUGGAGGUCAUCGGCACGGCCGGCUCGCCCUCCUUAGAGAGGGGCUACCUACUUGAAUCCGAAACCUUUGGAGGCUCCGGCGCAGUAACUGUCUGGGAGCCAGACUUGUUGUGGCUCCCGUCCGCAUAAUCCAUGGGGAUCUUACCCCCCACAUGCCCGGUGGCUGGGAUUUCGCCUUGGGGCGUCUCUAGAACCGCCAUCCCCUAUUCUGGUAUCCUUUGGGACAACACCUCGGUGUCAUCCGCGGGCCAAGGGGAGGUGGCCGUUGGGAGUGAAUUCAUCUCCGACUCGCUCAGGGACCCGUCCGAAGACGAUACCUCGAGGCGGGACCCAGUCGGACUACAUAUGCGUGUUCGGCAUUGUCACAAACCAUGAAAUUAAGAUGCAUGAAAAAUACUAUAGAGUGUGGAUACUUACUAUCUCGCCAGGGGCUUGCCCCUGGGCAACCACUCCUCCUCGCUGUAGGCGGCCGCGGUGGAGUGAUCCGGAAGGGAUGCCUUUCCCUUCUUCGGUGUCCUGGCCUCCCCGUAUGGGGUGGCUUUCCUCUUCUUCUCCUCCCCAAUGCGGGGAGGGGGAAUUUAUUCAGGUUUCCCCCCAUCUCCGUGGGAGGAAUUUGCCUCGGCGUACUCGGACGACGAGUCUAUUACAGCCUUCACCGGAGACCUUUCCUGGUCCCUGCGGCCGCUUUCUUGGACCUUUCGGCCUCCUCAGAUGGGGCGGCCUUCCUCUUCCUCUCCUUCCCUUCAUGGGAGGACUGUGCCUCAUCGUCUUCAGAUAAGGCAUCCGGCGCAACCUUGUGCCGAAGACCCUUCCUGGUCCCCGUGGUCUUCUUUUCGGCCUUAUUAUCCGGCACCUUGUAAGGCGCCAGAACCAGCAUCUCCGUGAGGAGUGCGGUUGCUAGAUCUUCCGGCAGCGGAGCCGGGCAGUCGAUCCGCUGCGCUGUCGCCACAUAAUCCUGUUUUGAUAAGCAUGGUGACUUAAAAUCCUCCCACGAGUUUUCUGGGAAAGGUACAUCUUGUGAUGUUCGGAGAACUUACUGGAUUGGCGAGGCACGUGGCGCUGAGUCCGCGGUCCUCGGAAGCGGGAGGAGGUACUUCGGCGGCCUUGAACAGCACCUUCUAGACGUCUUUAUGCGUCGUGUCGAAGAGCUCUCGCAGCGUUUGGUGUUCGGCUGGAUCAAACUCCCAUAUAUUGAACGCCCGUCUUUGACACGGGAGGAUCCGGCGAAAGAACAUGACCUGGACCACGUUGACAAGCUUGAUCUUCUUGUCUGUCAGGACCCCGAUCCUAAGUCACACCGAUCUGGCAUGUAACACAUCAUAUCACUCUGCGGCCUCACGCACGGUAUUCCCACGGGUGCCACCUUACCUGGCCCGGGACCGUUUGCACCUUUUGGCUCACAUAUAUGAUAGUGCCGCUAGCAUCCAUAUGACAAAGAACCCGGGCUGACAUGGCUAGUCGUGAACCCAAAGUGGCACUAACUUACAGGGACAUGCAUACAUGACCCAGCAACGAACGUGUCGGUCAUCAGCGAGUGAAUCUGGGCUGUAGCAACUGGGCUAGCAGGACUCCGGUAAACCAGGCUGUAGCAGGCUAACAGGACUCCGGUAGACACCGCGUGACAUUUCCCCGAAGGGAUAGACACAGGAAUGAAGAAGGACACAUGCCGGCCAGCCUAAGUGUUCCGGAGCAGUAUAAAGCUACCAAGGCUCAGUGGAAGCACUAGGAGACAUUUCCCGGUAAGAGAGGCUACCAAGGAUGAACAACUAGAUAGUCAGAUCCCACACAGACCAAGCAUUUCAAUAACAUACACACAAUAUGCUCGAUAUGUGCAAAUACAACAUGGCAUCACAACAUGACUCUACAACUCAAGUAUUUUUCAAUAGGCUCCGAGGAGCGAGAUAUUACAAUCAUGGGUCGCAUGACCCAACAUUCAGAGCAUACAAGUCAAAGCACAUGCGGAAGCUUAACAUGUCUGAGUACGGACAUCUACAAAAGAAAAAGGCUGAGAAGCCUGACUAUCUACUAGAUCCUGCCGAGGGCACAAGAUCGUAGCUGAGGUAACAAGCUAAACGUCAAAGUCCACAUGGAACUACUAGCGAGACUGAAGUCUCUCUGCAAAAACAUAAAUUAAGCAACGUGAGUACAAAUGUAACCAGCAAGACUUACAUCAGAACUAACUACAUAUGCAUCAUUAUCAACAAAGGGGCGUGGGGUUUAACUGCAGCAAGCCAGCUUUGACUCGAUGGCUAUCCUGAAUUAUGACUGUAAGUAUCUCUUUUGAGGUGACGCACACGAGUCCACAUAUUCACCAUAUCAAUACACCACUAUGGAUCCGCUCCCGUCUCCCUAUGAGAACGCCAUCCAUAGCACUCACGUAUAUCUUGCGUAUUUUAGAGUAUCCACUUUCACUUGUCUAUGAACUGUAUAGGCAACCCAAAAGUCCUUUGCCGCGGAAACGACUAUUCGAAUAGAUCAUAUUAACCCUGCAGGGGUGUACUUCUUCACACACGCUCUCACCACUUACCGCCGUUUACACGACAUGUACUCGGCAACCUUCAAGCGGAAGCCCAGCGAGGGUGUCGGCCACGACCUGACUAACCACACAAGUCUCUCAUCCAGGUUUAUCGCCUAUUCGGGUUCCAUCCGCAAGGAGAUCCGGCCGGGGUGUCGCUCACGGCCCCAAACGAUGUGUGCAGGGUUCCCAAGCCCACCAUCCGGGUGCCACUUGGUACACCGGGCCACUGUGCCUAGUCUGUCCCAAGCCCACCUGUACCGGGUGCCACUUGGUAGACUACUAGCACUACCUACAAACACCAGAAACUAGCUGCAACUCUUGGACACAGAUCGAGUUGAUUAAUAAGUCGAGAGAGUCAAUUAAGGAUCCCAAUGUGUGGUAGUAGCUGUUAAUGGAUCACAAACACAGAACUCAGUUCCUGAGGACGGCUGCAAUGAGACAACCCACCAUGUACUCCUACACGGCCUCUC